UAUAACACAAAUUACAAUAUUCCUUAACAAACACUUUGUAUAGGUCCUGCAUCUUGCUUUCUCUACAUGCUAACUACCAGGGAUUUCUCUGUUCUUGGUCUUUUGUUUUGACAGUUCAAGAAGGAUGGGGGAGAUGAUGAUCCCAAUGGAAACAAUUCUGGUGGUGCUUCAAGAGGGAAUUGGUGGCAGGGCUCACUUUAUUACUAACAUCUUAAUCCAAAAUAAUGCAAACUUUCCAUCCCAAUACUUUAAGGAACACUAGCAGCGUAAUUAAUCGUAUUAUUACUAUGGAAAUAAGCUGGUAGAUAGCUAGCAAUACAGUAGAAGCAUAUAGAGCAUAACACAGCUUAGGACUUUGAGGAAGCAUGUUGACCCUGUAAGCUGUUAUAUUUAGGGCAGACAGCUCGGAGCACGCCGGAAUCAUGUAUUAUACGUUUAUCUACUUUUCUUUUGCCUGACUAAUCUAAUCUUCUUGUUCUGAACUAUGGUCCGUGGGAUUUUUCCCACAAGAAAAUGGAUUACUAUAACUAUAUAUUGACAUAUAUAGUAUACCCUUCUCUCAUCUUGAUUUCACUUUCAAGAUUGGAUGCAUUUUAGCAUCUUAUAUACAAUGAAUGAUCACAAAGAGAAGUUAUAUGUUGCCAACAGUCAUGUGAUCUGUAGUUCCGGUGACUGGAUUCAAAUUCUGGUUUCCAUAUUCUGGUUUAUUUUAUAGGAAUCAUGCAAGAUAAGGGUUUCAAGAAUUCCAUUUAUUGAGGAGAGGUUUUUGAGCAUUGAGCAGUAAGAAAAUACUUGAAGUUAUCGAAAGAUUACUGAACACAAUCUUUUAUGUAUCA
This is a non-coding RNA of Durio zibethinus, 836 nucleotides long. NCBI's taxonomy places the organism in Eukaryota, Viridiplantae, Streptophyta, Magnoliopsida, Malvales, Malvaceae. The record is from RefSeq and is a predicted model, not a curated record.